AAAGAGACUUCAGCAAUGAGGAAGUCCAGCUCCCAGUUGUUUGAAAUUGGAAACUGAGCUCCAGAGAGAUUAAGAUAAAGUGUCCAUUUUUACACAGGAAGUUAUCAAAAGAGCCACGGUCAAAUCUGGGUCUUCUGAUACUUAAAGCUGUGCUCUUCCUAAUACUAAAUGCUGCCUCCUUUGAGGCAUUUAAAUCUCUGUAAUCUAGAUCCAUUUCUAUGCCAACAUCGGUAAAUCACAAAUGAUUAGAAAAAAGGUGGCAGACUCAAACACCAACUCAUGCUUUUUAAUUUGAGUGGUUUUCUAGGUUCAUCUGAAAUAAAACAAAACAAUAUUUUUUAAAACUCCUUCCUGUUUACAAAAUUGAGAAUUCCUUCUUGACACUGGUGUUCAUGUUCUAUGUACUUUCCAAAUACGGAGAUCCUAAAAUACGGGCUGGCUGAACUUUUAAAUAUAAAGAAAGUCUUGCAGUUGAGAAUACUCUCCAACCAAAUGAGUUCAGUCUGCUUUCUGCUUCUGAGAUCUGGGUCUAAGGGGAUUAUUUUCAAAGAUGAGCAGGAGACUAAAGAGAAAGACAGGCUUCCUGUUACCUACCUUGAGUUUGAGAGUCUUGAAAACCUUGUGUGUAGCAUUGCAAAGCUGCCCUGGAACAUGAAAAAUACAGCCUCUUCUCACCAGUGCUGAAGGAGGCUUCUUCCGACUCCAGCUUGAAUGUUUCUCAAGACGGUCAGUUAAGUGAAACCAUCUUUUCCAAAAGCUUGAGUAAACCUGAGAACCUCCCCACCAAUGAAUUAGGUAGGAGGAAAGCGGGCCCCAGUGGCGAGUAUCAUGAAAAGAUUCAGUUCUCAGACUUGGCUGCUUAUUGGAAUUAUUUGAAGAGCUUUAAAAGUACUAGCUGCCCAUAAAGGUUGCAGAUAUUCAGUGCUAUUAUAGGAAUUUUCAUGAAUACGUUUGAAAAUCCUGAUCUAUGGAUUGAAUUCCUGUUUUGAUUAAUUGAUUUGUAAACCUCUGUCCCUUUUGUGACUCUGUUCUGCCUUUUGGGAUUGGAGUUUCAUUGUUUACCCAGAUGCACAGAUACUUCCUGGUGAGUUAGAAUGCAUUUCCUCUACUAUAACAUUUCUCAACCCUGCACAUUGAGAAUCAUUUGGGGAGAUUAAGAUGAAAAAAAAAAAAAAAAAACUGGUGGGAAUUGGUCAGGGGUUGAACCAGGGCUUAAGCAUUUUUGUAAACCUCCCCAUAGUAGCCAGCCUCCAAGAUGGCCCCCACUGGACCCACCUGUUUGUACUUGCAUCUUCAUUUAGCACUCCCACUCCCACAUGGUGCCAAGGCUGUUCUACAUGACCAAUAAAAUAGUGCAGACGUGAUGAUAUGAUUAGGUUAUAAAAGACACUGCAGUUUCCAUCUUAAUGUUCUACCUCCCUCUCAGAUCAUUUGCUUUGGAAAAGCCAACUGCCAAGUCAUAAGCAGCCCUGUGGCGAACCCUACAUGGUGUGGAACUGAGACCUUGUGCCAACAGCCAGGUGAGUGAGCUUGCAAGACAAUUCUCCAGCUGUAUAAAGCCUUUGAAUGACUGCAGCCUGGUCGACAUCUUGACUGCAACCACAUGAGAGACCCUGAGCCAGAAUCACCCAACUAAACAGUUCCCAGCCUCUUUGAAAUUGGACUGUGAUGAUCAUAGAAGAGAAAGCAGGAGUGCAAAGAAUUUGGACAGCCAGCACAGUAUUGAUUACUUUGGAAGAAACAAAGACUUCUACAGAAAUUGCUUCAUACAGGUUCAGAACAAAAUGAUUCUGCUUUAACCAAGUGCCUAUGUAAGUUCCAGAUUUUGUAAAUAUUGGCCCUGAAGCAAUAAGCAAUAUACCUGUGCAGAAGUCACUGGACAGGACAAUGGGGCUCAGAGUUUGAGAAAAGAAGAAUGAAGCCUGGAUGAGAACCGUCUCUUUUGCCCCUCUGUUGGAGGAUUGACCCAAGUUCUUUAUUGCAGAAUUGUAAAUAAAUAUAUCCAUUAAAAUCCAUCUCUAAAUUUAAAAUACAUCUCUAAAUGUAUAUUAUAAAUUGGUUAUGGACUAAGAGAAUGGUUUGAAACACACUCAAACCAAUCCUUUCGUCAUCUUCCUAAAGUCUUGAGUUUAAGAAUCCACAUUAGGCAUUUUUAUAGAAGGAAAAAUACCCUUGAUUCUUGCUCUUAUAGAAGACAAUCAGACAAGGAGCCCUCCUUAGAACACUUUGUCAAAGAAAAGCUUAUUUUU
Molecule: long non-coding RNA, 2249 nt
Organism: Equus caballus (horse)
Lineage: Eukaryota; Metazoa; Chordata; Mammalia; Perissodactyla; Equidae
Source: Ensembl